Molecule: non-coding RNA, 136 nt
Organism: Hordeum vulgare subsp. vulgare (domesticated barley)
Lineage: Eukaryota; Viridiplantae; Streptophyta; Magnoliopsida; Poales; Poaceae
Source: Rfam
AAGAUACUUCCUUCGUCUUAAAAUUCUUGUCUUAGGUUAGUCUAAAAAUCGAUGUAUCUAAAUACUAUAACAUGACUAGAUACAUCCAUAUUUAAACAAAUCUAAGACGAGGAUUUUGGGACGGAGGGAGUAGAUA